RNAcentral lists this transfer RNA (67 nucleotides) under Ancistrocheirus sp. 2 FFA-2023. RNAcentral's name for it is "tRNA-Pro". Lineage: Eukaryota; Metazoa; Mollusca; Cephalopoda; Oegopsida; Ancistrocheiridae. The record is from RNAcentral.
CAGAGGGUAGUUUAAAUAAAAUAUUAACAUUGGAAGUUAAAGAUUAAGUUGAAUACUUACCUUUUGA